CCGAUUCUCUCUUCCUCUCCGACCUCUUCACCUUCUUCCGGCCAUAACUCCUCCAUCCGGCGACGGAUUUUGAAGUGUAAGAUGUCGUUGGAAAGCUCUCUUCCUUCUCUUCAUUUCUGGGUUCGUUUCGUAGCUUAAUAUGAACUGUGGAAGGUGCAGCAACGAGAAGAAGAGGACGGUCACUGUAGCAGUUUUGAGUCAACGCCGAUAUUUUCCGAUUCCGGCAGUCUCCGGCCACAAAAUUGGCGUCGAAGGGUUCUUGGAAUUUCUGGAAAAUUUUCACCGGCCAAAUUGGAGCUCUUCCAGGGCAAUGCCGCGAGCUACGGUUAAAUGAAGGAACUCGUUUGCGUGGUCGCCCAAUAGUACUUUUGCAGGCGAAAUUAGUUGAGGUCGGGCGUACAUGGAGUCGAGGCAUAGCCAACAGCAUUGCUUCCGCGUACUCAUUCUAUUUCUGUUUUCUUUGUUACCUAGUGGAUUAGUAUUGCUCUGAUAACCUAUGGGAUUAAUAUUGUUUUUGGGUUGAGACUGAUAUUUGUGAAAUUGGAGUUGUGAUUUGGGGAGCAGAUGGCUCCAGAA
Rosa rugosa (rugosa rose) is the source of this 576-nucleotide long non-coding RNA. RefSeq lists it as uncharacterized. The transcript is spliced from 4 exons. The record is from RefSeq and is a predicted model, not a curated record. Lineage: Eukaryota; Viridiplantae; Streptophyta; Magnoliopsida; Rosales; Rosaceae.